This is a long non-coding RNA of Suricata suricatta (meerkat), 959 nucleotides long. RefSeq lists it as uncharacterized. The transcript has 4 exons. The record is from RefSeq and is a predicted model, not a curated record. Lineage: Eukaryota; Metazoa; Chordata; Mammalia; Carnivora; Herpestidae.
CGUGGUUCUCGGCUCGUCAGGACCACACCUGGACGACCGUCACCUGGCAGGAUGUGCCUUGCUGUGAGCAGGACAAAUUCCAAACGCAACUCCUAGAAAUGGAAACGCCAUAUGCCCGUCCGCGCUGUCAGCCACCCACGUGAUUUCUGGGGUUCAGAAAGCGUGAGACUGGAAGUGAGCACUGGACUUCGUCUUACCCCUUGCCCUCAGACUCCAGGGUCCGCCUGGGCAGUGCCGGCAGGUGCUAAGAGAAGUCCAGCCAUAAUGCGAUUGGAGCCAGGAAGGAAGGAAGGGUGAUGCAUGGUUGUAUUUGAGGAGGAACAAGCUGCCAUGGCCUGGACCUCCUCAUUGACCCGGGUCGUCGUGUGAGACAGGAAGUGGAGCAGGCUCCCCGAGGCCGGAGCCCCGGCGGACGCCGGACAGAGCGUCACCCGUUCCGGGAGGACCGAGCGUUUCUCCUGGAGGCGGCGGCCGCCCAGCGCGCGAUCUGUCGGACUGCAGCCAGCGAGGCCCCAGCGUCAUCAGAGACCGCGGCCCCGGGAGACCAGCCGCAGAACUGGGAGCGCCGGUCUCUGGGCCACAGAGCAAGGGCUCAACAGAUGUUUGGCCCGGUAGAGGGAAGAUUCCGGAAGAGGUGACGUGGGCUGGUGGGAGUCCCAGUUGCCUUGGAAAAGGAGGAAGUGACUUUCCGUGCCCAUGAGAAGGAUACCUGUGAAGUGAGGAGAGAGUGAUGGGCGGGGCGCCAGGUGACCUGUCCAGCUCUGUCAGGGGCCACCCUGGGGCACUGCCGUGUUGCCACCGUCCCCACCGAAGCGAGGCGAGCAGAGGACGGGAGAGCCCCUGCCAGUGGGCAAACUGCGGCCGUGUGGAUGGGUCCCUCCCCUUCCGGCUUCCUUCUUCCCCGGGAAAGAGACCGGUAACGUGACGGGAAGCCGGCAUCGGUCACGUGCAGGGACUGU